Mycena crocata is the source of this 91-nucleotide non-coding RNA. The record is from the annotation of a GenBank genome assembly. NCBI's taxonomy places the organism in Eukaryota, Fungi, Basidiomycota, Agaricomycetes, Agaricales, Mycenaceae.
GCACAUGUGGUGUAGUGGUAACACACACUUUGUAACUGCUAUAGACCACACUAUUGUGAGUGUGUCAGGGGUUCAACUCCCUAUCGGUGUA